UGUUUUUUUUGGUUUUUUAAAAUGUUCGAGUCGUCCU
This 37-nucleotide small RNA is filed under the name Arabidopsis thaliana (thale cress). Its description in RNAcentral is "ATSL046640". The record is from RNAcentral. Lineage: Eukaryota; Viridiplantae; Streptophyta; Magnoliopsida; Brassicales; Brassicaceae.